CAAAACCGAUAUUUUAUUGGUUGAUGAAAGAUAGAAUCACUAAGCAGGAGCUUAGAGGUGCACACAUCGUAGGACUAUGACAUAAAGAAAGAGUUGCAUAACAUAUACUCUACAACUAUACGUCGUAAUUAACUACAAAGGACGACAUUCGGCUAGCAAGAGAAAAGAGCGAGAAUGCUUGCACUCCCUCCGUUCAAUAGGCUCUUCCAUGUCAACUUUGUAUUUUACGGAAAAUGAAGGAACAAGUUCCGUUGAUGAAGUAGAGAAAUGCCACCAAAAGGAAAUAAAGUCCCUUUAUCCGUACAAAUUGGUUCCUUCAUCCUCUCACAGCUCGGUCAAUGAAUUACGCCUUUCAUUUAAGUAUACCUCACAUUUCCUGGACAGUCGGAUGCAAAUACCAAGGAAUUUGACUUGGAGUUAAACGGAAAAUAAAUGUCUCCUUUUCUGUUAGAGGUUAUUCGAUUCUUUGGUUGUGCUUGAACUACUAAAGCAUAGACUUGUCAUACUGAAAAACAAAAGAUGUCUUACAAUUUAAAAAGCAAAAAUAAAAUAAAUAGAUGUCUUAGAAUUUAUAACCCAAAAACCAAAAUAAAAAGAUGUCUUACAAUUUAAGAAUCCAAAAAUAUGUAAACUGGAAGCGUGAAUUGAUGCUUGUAUGCUGGAGGCGCACCUUCCUUCGACACAUUAUACAUGCAAAU
This 698-nucleotide long non-coding RNA is filed under the name Brachypodium distachyon (stiff brome). RNAcentral's name for it is "long non-coding RNA (BDIS_LNC001388)". Lineage: Eukaryota; Viridiplantae; Streptophyta; Magnoliopsida; Poales; Poaceae. The record is from RNAcentral.